This 505-nucleotide ribosomal RNA is filed under the name uncultured bacterium. Its description in RNAcentral is "partial 16S ribosomal RNA". It matches the Rfam family "Bacterial small subunit ribosomal RNA", at positions 28 to 507 of the family's 1533-position model. The record is from RNAcentral.
GACGAACGCUGGCGGCGUGCCUAAUACAUGCGAGUAGAACGCACAGUUUAUACCGUAGCUUGCUACACCAUAAACUGUGAGUUGCGAACGGGUGAGUAACGCGUAGGUAACCUGCCUGGUAGCGGGGGAUAACUAUUGGAAACGAUAGCUAAUACCGCAUAAUAUUGAUUAUUGCAUGAUAAUUGAUUGAAAGCUGCUAUUGCAUCACUACCAGAUGGACCUGCGUUGUAUUAGCUAGUAGGUGAGGUAACGGCUCACCUAGGCGACGAUACAUAGCCGACCUGAGAGGGUGAUCGGCCACACUGGGACUGAGACACGGCCCAGACUCCUAAGGGAGGCAGCAGUAGGGAAUCUUCGGCAAUGGACGAAAGUCUGACCGAGCAACGCCGCGUGAGUGAAGAAGGUUUUCGGAUCGUAAAGCUCUGUUGUAAGAGAAGAACGGGUGUGAGAGUGGAAAGUUCACACUGUGACGGUAUCUUACCAGAAAGGGACGGCUAACUACGUG